GAGGACUAAGGUUAGAGAACAGAAUGAGGAGGCGUAAACUUCAGUCUGAAAUGACUGGUAAAGUUAGCCGCGCUGAUCAGUGCUCAGUUGCUGCUAAGAAGAAUCAAUUGAAUGGUGAUAGGAACAGCUGGCGCAACAAGCGUAGGGUGACUGGGAAGCAGAAGGCCUAGUAAUUAUUGCAGUUUGUCAAUAUCUCCUAAAUAUGCUUUGCUCAUGGCUAAUCAUAUGCAAAAUGCAUAUCUUAAUGUUUAAGUCUUCUGUAGUUUUGCCUUUGCCUGUUUCUCAUUUACAUUGGUAUUCAAUUUGAAGGAACAACCUGUUCCCU
Molecule: unclassified non-coding RNA, 325 nt
Filed under: Hevea brasiliensis (rubber tree)
Lineage: Eukaryota; Viridiplantae; Streptophyta; Magnoliopsida; Malpighiales; Euphorbiaceae
Source: RNAcentral